UUAGGCUUAUCUUUUUUUUCUUUUUCUUUUUUCUUUUGCCUUUUUAACCUGUAUUGGCAAAACAGCAAAAGGCUAAAAUCAAAGCACACCAUCUUUUCAUUCUCCCAACAUGACUGCUUGCCCCAUACAUCAAUCCUUUGGAAGAACAUAAAGAAAAAAAUGCCAUCUCCCUCGCUGGCCUUCCCUAAAGAAUACAUCAUGCCCUAUCUCAACCGUACAAUGCAAAAGACAAAGUCAUCAAUCCCCUGACAAGGCUCUUGGAUGGCAGAGAGAUGACUGUCGGCAGCUGGCUGAGCAUGUCAGCAUCUUGGCAUGGAUCUCCUAUUGUCUGGUUUUUAGUGGUAAUAUGUUCCAUGUGUAAGAGAGGAAAAUCAGAUUCAGCAUGCAAAAGAGCAACCCAAGCGGGGAAGGAGCAAGGAAGACAGAGAUUUCCAGGAAUGAAUAGAAGAGCUGAAAAGAUUCAAAGCAGUUACUUCACUUUGCUUUGGGAACUCCUCUAGAAUAGUGGAUCUAAGAGAAACCUCUGAGACAGAAGAUCUUCUGAACAGUGACCAUUUCUUAGUGACCCCAAAACCCUUGGAUCCAGCUGAAGAUAAAAGGAGUGGAUAAGACUUUAUUAUAAAGUCAUCCUCCCAAAGAAGACUUUCCUCUCUCUAUCCCCUAAAGAUGACCUGUGAACUUCAUGCUACAAGUAGAGUAGAUAGAAGUCAGGGCAGAAAUUACAACUGACUAAGAAGGGUCAGGCAAUCAGCCUAUACUCUCAGGAUUUGGGGAGGAGGGUCAGCUGUUAGCCUUAGGGAUCUCCUAUUUCCUACUUCCCACUUCCCUUACUCAACAACCCUACUCUUCCUGUCUUUUUGUGUCCCCUUAGAAUAAAAGAAUUAUUUUUUAUAGAUCA
Molecule: long non-coding RNA, 898 nt
Filed under: Monodelphis domestica (gray short-tailed opossum)
Lineage: Eukaryota; Metazoa; Chordata; Mammalia; Didelphimorphia; Didelphidae
Description: lncRNA (ENSMODG00000047498.1)
Source: RNAcentral